Molecule: ribosomal RNA, 606 nt
Filed under: Allocotocerus sp. 1 MTM-2009
Lineage: Eukaryota; Metazoa; Arthropoda; Insecta; Coleoptera; Hydrophilidae
Also listed under: 3 other names
Description: eukaryotic LSU rRNA
Rfam family: Eukaryotic large subunit ribosomal RNA
Source: RNAcentral
GGACCAAGGAGUCUAGCAUGUGCGCGAGUCAUUGGGACAAGCGAAACCUAAAGGCGUAAUGAAAGUGAAGGCUCGCCUCGCGCGUGCCGAGGGAGGAUGGGCGGCGUCACGAUGCCGCCUCGCACUCCCGGGGCGUCUCGUUCUCAUUGCGAGAAGAGGCGCACCCAGAGCGUACACGCUGGGACCCGAAAGAUGGUGAACUAUGCCUGGUCAGGACGAAGUCAGGGGAAACCCUGAUGGAGGUCCGUAGCGAUUCUGACGUGCAAAUCGAUCGUCGGAACUGGGUAUAGGGGCGAAAGACUAAUCGAACCAUCUAGUAGCUGGUUCCCUCCGAAGUUUCCCUCAGGAUAGCUGGCGCUCGCUUUGCGAGUCUCAUCCGGUAAAGCGAAUGAUUAGAGGCAUUGGGGUCGAAACGGCCUCAACCUAUUCUCAAACUUUAAAUGGGUGAGAUCUCCGGCUUGCUCGAACUUGAAGCCGCGAGAUUUUACACAAGGAUCAGGGUGCCAAGUGGGCCACUUUUGGUAAGCAGAACUGGCGCUGUGGGAUGAACCAAACGCCGAGUUAAAGCGCCUAAAUCGACGCUUAUGGGAUACCAUGAAAGGCGUU